Molecule: transfer RNA, 61 nt
Filed under: Tamarixia radiata
Lineage: Eukaryota; Metazoa; Arthropoda; Insecta; Hymenoptera; Eulophidae
Description: tRNA-Ser
Source: RNAcentral
GAAAUAUUAAUAAAAUGAAUUUCUAAUUCAAAAAAAAAGUAUUAAAUUUACUUAUAUUUCU